GACGAACGCUGGCGGCGUGCUUAACACAUGCAAGUCGAACGGAAAGGCCCUGCUUUUGUGGGGUGCUCGAGUGGCGAACGGGUGAGUAACACGUGAGUAACCUGCCCUUGACUUUGGGGUAACUUCAGGAAACUGGGGCUAAUACCGGAUAGGAGCUCCUGCUGCAUGGUGGGGGUUGGAAAGUUUCGGCGGUUGGGGAUGGACUCGCGGCUUAUCAGCUUGUUGGUGGGGUAGUGGCUUACCAAGGCUUUGACGGGUAGCCGGCCUGAGAGGGUGACCGGCCACAUUGGGACUGAGAUACGGCCCAGACUCCUACGGGAGGCAGCAGUGGGGAAUAUUGCACAAUGGGCGGAAGCCUGAUGCAGCAACGCCGCGUGCGGGAUGACGGCCUUCGGGUUGUAAACCGCUUUCGCAUGUGACGAAGCGUGAGUGACGGUAAUGGGUAAAGAAGCACCGGCUAACUACGUG
RNAcentral lists this ribosomal RNA (468 nucleotides) under uncultured bacterium. RNAcentral's name for it is "partial 16S ribosomal RNA". It matches the Rfam family "Bacterial small subunit ribosomal RNA", at positions 28 to 507 of the family's 1533-position model. The record is from RNAcentral.